CAGCACCCCGAGUGGUCGGGACGAUUAUUGGGCCUAAAGCAUCCGUAGCCGGUUCUGCAAGUCCCCCGUUAAAUCCAGCUGCUCAACAGAUGGGCCGCGGAGGAUACUACAGAGCUAGGAGGCAGGAGAGGCAAGCGGUACUCAGUGGGUAGGGGUAAAAUCCGUUGAUCCAUUGAAGACCACCAGUGGCGAAGGCGGCUUGCCAGAAUGCGCUCGACGGUGAGGGAUGAAAGCUGGGGGAGCAAACCGGAUUAGAUACCCGAGUAGUCC
RNAcentral lists this ribosomal RNA (270 nucleotides) under uncultured archaeon. RNAcentral's name for it is "partial 16S ribosomal RNA". It matches the Rfam family "Archaeal small subunit ribosomal RNA", at positions 477 to 747 of the family's 1478-position model. The record is from RNAcentral.